Molecule: ribosomal RNA, 207 nt
Filed under: uncultured Syntrophus sp.
Lineage: Bacteria; Pseudomonadati; Thermodesulfobacteriota; Syntrophia; Syntrophales; Syntrophaceae
Description: partial 16S ribosomal RNA
Rfam family: Bacterial small subunit ribosomal RNA
Source: RNAcentral
CGUGUAAGCGGCUGAGCAAGUCAGAUGUGAAAUCCCUGGGCUUAACCCAGGAAGUGCAUUUGAAACUGCUUAGCUUGAGUAAGGAAGAGGGAAGUGGAAUUCCUGGUGUAGAGGUGAAAUUCGUAGAUAUCAGGAGGAACACCGGUGGCGAAGGCGACUUCCUGGUCCUAUACUGACGCUGAGACGCGAGAGCGUGGGGAGCAAACA